UAGGGAAUCUUCGGCAAUGGACGGAAGUCUGACCGAGCAACGCCGCGUGAGUGAAGAAGGUUUUCGGAUCGUAAAGCUCUGUUGUUAGAGAAGAACGUUGGUAGGAGUGGAAAAUCUACCAAGUGACGGUAACUAACCAGAAAGGGACGGCUAACUACGUGCCAGCAGCCGCGGUAAUACGUAGGUCCCGAGCGUUGUCCGGAUUUAUUAGGCGUAAAGCGAGCGCAGGCGGUUCUUUAAGUCUGAAGUUAAAGGCAGUGGCUUAACCAUUGUACGCUUUGGAAACUGGAGGACUUGAGGGCAGAAGGGGAGAGUGGAAUUCCAUGUGUAGCGGUGAAAUGCGUAGAUAUAUGGAGGAACACCGGUGGCGAAAGCGGCUCUCUGGUCUGUAACUGACGCUGAGGCUCGAAAGCGUGGGGAGCAAACAGG
This 429-nucleotide ribosomal RNA is filed under the name Bacillota bacterium. RNAcentral's name for it is "Firmicutes bacterium partial 16S ribosomal RNA". It matches the Rfam family "Bacterial small subunit ribosomal RNA", at positions 355 to 776 of the family's 1533-position model. Lineage: Bacteria; Bacillati; Bacillota. The record is from RNAcentral.